GUCUUUUUGAGUUUAAUUUAAAGUCUAAUCUGCCCACUGAUAAAAUAUUUAAGGGCCGCAGUAUUCUGACUGUGCAAAGGUAGCAUAAUCAUUAGUCUUUUAAUUGAGGGCUUGUAUGAAUGAUUGGACGAGAUAUAAGCUGUCUCAUGAAAAUUUAAGUAGAAUUUUAUUUUUUAGUCAAAAAGCUAAAAUAAAUUUAAAAGACGAGAAGACCCUAUAGAUCUUUAUAAUUUAUUUUUAAAUUUUUUUAGGUUAUUUUUUGAAUUUAUAAAUUAAAUUAUUUUGUUGGGGUGACAAUGAAAUUUACUAAACUUUCAUUAUUUUGAAACAUUAAUUUAUGAUUAAUUGAUCCACUAUUAGUGAUUAAAAAUUUAAGUUACCUUAGGGAUAACAGCGUAAUUAUUUUGGAGAGUUCUUAUCGAUAAAAUAGUUUGCGACCUCGAUGUUGGAUUAAGAUUAAUUCUGGGUGUAGCACUUCAGAUUAUUAAGUCUGUUCGACUUUUAAUUUCUU
This 511-nucleotide ribosomal RNA is filed under the name Dolichopus planitarsis. Its description in RNAcentral is "partial 16S ribosomal RNA". It matches the Rfam family "Bacterial large subunit ribosomal RNA", at positions 1893 to 2597 of the family's 2925-position model. Lineage: Eukaryota; Metazoa; Arthropoda; Insecta; Diptera; Dolichopodidae. The record is from RNAcentral.